AUUAUGUAAAUUUUCUCGAUCCUAAAUUCAUUACAAUAUUCAAUUUCAGGAAAUGCUCUUGACCAUCUGCUGCUGCUCCAAGAAAUGAGUCUUGGAGAUUGUUUACUACCAGAGAUGAUGGAGGGAAAUUUGAACUCUUGUCUUCUGCUGCUGAGUAGAUCCUUAAGACGGUACAACGUGAGACAGAGGGAAAUGAACAGCCCUGUCCUGCCCCUUCCCCAGCUGAAAACCACUGGAGAAUUCCAGGGAAGCAUGAAAAAGACCAGGCCUGCUUCCCAAGGGCUGGCUGGGAAAUGCUGCCACGUGGAGCUGUGGAAAGGCUCCUUAGGAAACAGGUGGAAUAACGAUGGAAAAGCAGCUUUUUCUCCUGCUGUUGGCUGUGGGAAGGGCUGA
This 393-nucleotide long non-coding RNA is filed under the name Parus major (Great Tit). RNAcentral describes it as "lncRNA (ENSPMJG00000019846.1)". The record is from RNAcentral. Lineage: Eukaryota; Metazoa; Chordata; Aves; Passeriformes; Paridae.